Molecule: transfer RNA, 89 nt
Filed under: Hypoxylon sp. FL1857
Lineage: Eukaryota; Fungi; Ascomycota; Sordariomycetes; Xylariales; Hypoxylaceae
Description: tRNA-Pro
Rfam family: tRNA
About the family: Transfer RNA (tRNA) molecules are approximately 80 nucleotides in length.
Source: RNAcentral
GGCUCAAUGGUCUAGUAGUAUGAUUCGCCGUUCGGGCUGGAUAUUUCCGAAGAUCGGCGAGGUCCCGGGUUCAAUUCCCGGUUGAGCCC